RNAcentral lists this ribosomal RNA (253 nucleotides) under uncultured bacterium. Its description in RNAcentral is "partial 16S ribosomal RNA". It matches the Rfam family "Bacterial small subunit ribosomal RNA", at positions 524 to 776 of the family's 1533-position model. The record is from RNAcentral.
UACGAAGGGGGCUAGCGUUGCUCGGAAUCACUGGGCGUAAAGCGCACGUAGGCGGAUCUUUAAGUCAGGGGCGAAAUCCUGGAGCUCAACUCCAGAACUGCCUUUGAUACUGAGGAUCUUGAGUCCGGGAGAGGUGAGUGGAACUCCGAGUGUAGAGGUGAAAUUCGUAGAUAUUCGGAAGAACACCAGUGGCGAAGGCGGCUCACUGGCCCGGUACUGACGCUGAGGUGCGAAAGCGUGGGGAGCAAACAGG